GUAGGUGAACCUGCGGAAGGAUCAUUAACACGUAUCCAACGUUAAACCCCCCCCGUGAACAUUCAUAAACAGUUGACUCGCCCACCCGCUUGCCAGCAAACCCUAGUAAAUCAUCGCCGACAGUUUUGAUUUAGGGUUUCGCAGAGUACGUGAGAAAUUACAGUGGGUUUGUAGCGACUUCCUAACCUCAGCCUCUCCGGGGCCUGCAUACGGAUUGGAAAGUGCCAUAUGCAAGAGCCGACGAGUUGGA
RNAcentral lists this unclassified non-coding RNA (250 nucleotides) under plant metagenome. Its description in RNAcentral is "partial contains small subunit ribosomal RNA, internal transcribed spacer 1, and 5.8S ribosomal RNA". The record is from RNAcentral.